AUUGAACGCUGGCGGCAUGCCUUACACAUGCAAGUCGAACGGUAACGGGCCUUCGGGUGCCGACGAGUGGCGAACGGGCGAGUAAUACAUCGGAACGUGCCCGAUCGUGGGGGAUAACGAGGCGAAAGCUUUGCUAAUACCGCAUACGAUCUACGGAUGAAAGCAGGGGACCGCAAGGCCUUGCGCGGACGGAGCGGCCGAUGGCAGAUUAGGUAGUUGGUGGGAUAAAAGCUUACCAAGCCGACGAGCUGUAGCUGGUCUGAGAGGAUGAUCAGCCACACUGGGACUGAGACACGGCCCAGACUCCUACGGGAGGCAGCAGUGGGGAAUGUUGGACAAUGGGCGCAAGCCUGAUCCAGCCAUGCCGCGUGCAGGAUGAAGGCCUUCGGGUUGUAAACUGCUUUUGUACGGAACGAAAAGCCUUCUUUUAAUACAGGAGGGUCAUGACGGUACCGGAAGAAUAAGCACCGGCUAACUACGUG
RNAcentral lists this ribosomal RNA (482 nucleotides) under uncultured bacterium. RNAcentral describes it as "partial 16S ribosomal RNA". It matches the Rfam family "Bacterial small subunit ribosomal RNA", at positions 30 to 507 of the family's 1533-position model. The record is from RNAcentral.